GACGAACCUUGCUACCGUUAUUCGGAAUUACUGGGCUUAAAGGGUGCGUAGGCGGUGCGGCAAGUCGGGUGUGAAAUCCCCCAGCUCAACUGGGGAAUUGCGCCUGAAACUACCGUGCUCGAGGAAGACAGAGGUACGCGGAACUUAGGGUGGAGCGGUGAAAUGCGUUGAUAUCCUAAGGAACACCGGUGGCGAAAGCGGCGUACUGGGUCUUAUCUGACGCCGAGGCACGAAAGCUAGGGUAGCGAACGGG
RNAcentral lists this ribosomal RNA (253 nucleotides) under uncultured bacterium. Its description in RNAcentral is "partial 16S ribosomal RNA". It matches the Rfam family "Bacterial small subunit ribosomal RNA", at positions 524 to 776 of the family's 1533-position model. The record is from RNAcentral.